This 569-nucleotide ribosomal RNA is filed under the name uncultured bacterium. Its description in RNAcentral is "bacterial SSU rRNA". It matches the Rfam family "Bacterial small subunit ribosomal RNA", at positions 329 to 890 of the family's 1533-position model. The record is from RNAcentral.
GCCCUUACUCCUACGGGGAGGCAGCAGUCGGGAAUCUUGUCCAAUGGGGGAAACCCUGAGACAGCAACGCCGCGUGAGGGAUGAAGGCCUUAGGGUCGUAAACCUCUGUCAGGAGGGAAGAAAGCUUCAAUGCAAAUAGUUUUGAAGCCUGACGGUACCUUCAAAGGAAGCACCGGCUAACUCCGUGCCAGCAGCCGCGGUAAUACGAAGGGGGCUAGCGUUGUUCGGAAUUACUGGGCGUAAAGCGCACGCAGGCGGAUUGAUAAGUCAGGGGUGAAAUCCCGGGGCUCAACCUCGGAAUUGCCUUUGAUACUGCCAGUCUUGAGUCCGGGAGAGGUGAGUGGAAUUCCUAGUGUAGAGGUGAAAUUCGUAGAUAUUAGGAAGAACACCAGUGGCGAAGGCGGCUCACUGGCCCGGUACUGACGCUCAGGUGCGAAAGCGUGGGGAGCAAACAGGAUUAGAUACCCUGGUAGUCCACGCCGUAAACGAUGGAUGCUAGCCGUUGGGGAGCUUGCUCUUCAGUGGCGCAGCUAACGUCUUAAGCAUCCCGCCUGGGGAGUACGGCCGCA